GACCUCGGAUCAGGUAGGGAUACCCGCUGAACUUAAGCAUAUCAAUAAGGGAGGAAAAGAAACCAACAGGGAUUGCCUCAGUAACGGCGAGUGAAGCGCAACAGCUCAAAUUUGAAAUCUGGCCCCGUCGGGGUCCGAGUUGUAAUUGUAGAGAGUGUUUCGGGUGAGACCACGGUCUAAGUCUGUUGGAACAUGGGUCAUAGAGGGUGAGAAUCCCGUAUGUGACCGUGGCUCGAGCCCAUGUGAGCCUCUUCGACGAGUCGAGUUGUUUGGGAAUGCAGCUCAAAAUGGGUGUAAAUUUCAUCUAAAGCUAAAUACUGGCUGGAGACCGAUAGCGCACAAGAGAGUGAUCGAAAGAGAAAAGCACUUGGAAAGAGAAUGAAAAGCACUUUGAAAGAGAGUCAAAAAGUACGUGAAAUUGUUGAAAGGGAAGCGCUUGCACCAGACCUGUCCGUAGGUGAUCAGCCGCUGUUCUCAGUGGUGCACUCGCCUGCGAUCAGGCCAGCAUCGGUUCCGGCGGUCGGAUAAAGGCCUUGGGAUGUAGCUCCCUUCGGGGAGUCUUAUAGCCCUCGGUGCAAUGCGGCCAGCGGGACCGAGGACCGCGCUUCGGCUAGGAUGCUGGCGUAAUGGUUGUAAGGACCCGUCUUGAAACACGGACCAAGGAGUCUAACAUCUAUGCGAGUGUUGGGUGUUAAACCCAUGCGCGGAAUGAAAGUGAACGGAGGUGAGAACCCUUAGGGCGCAUCAUCGACCGAUCCAGAUGUCUUCGGAUGGAUUUGAGUAUAGCAUAGCUGUUGGGACCCGAAAGAUGGUGAACUAUGCCUGAAUAGGGUAAGCCAGAGGAAACUCUGGUGGAGGCUCGCAGCGGUUCUGACGUGCAAACGAUCGUCAAAUUUGGGUAUAGGGGCGAAAGACUAAUCGAACCAUCUAGAGCUGGUUCCUGCCGA
This 947-nucleotide ribosomal RNA is filed under the name Usnea lapponica. Its description in RNAcentral is "eukaryotic LSU rRNA". It matches the Rfam family "Eukaryotic large subunit ribosomal RNA", at positions 1 to 964 of the family's 3401-position model. Lineage: Eukaryota; Fungi; Ascomycota; Lecanoromycetes; Lecanorales; Parmeliaceae. The record is from RNAcentral.